Molecule: long non-coding RNA, 1007 nt
Filed under: Brassica rapa (field mustard)
Lineage: Eukaryota; Viridiplantae; Streptophyta; Magnoliopsida; Brassicales; Brassicaceae
Description: long non-coding RNA (BRAP_LNC003500)
Source: RNAcentral
UGAGGAUAAUUAUAUUAUCAAAAGCAACAUUACAACGCCGGCGAUUAAGAAAAUCCCGGAAACAGAGCCGGCAGACUAAACAAUAGUCUCCAGAAACAGAUGCCCACACAGGGGAAGCAAGAGGAGAAACAUAGAUAAUUGAAACACUUAGAAACAUACACAAACUAGAACCAAUAAUGAUUGAUCAAAAGAAACCCAAACGGUUAAGAACAGCUUGCAUGUUGGAGAUAACAGAGAGACUUUGCGAGAGAAGACGAUGGAGCCAAUCUUGGGAACAAACCAUCGAAGAACCCACCUAUAGUGAAUAGCACAGACAAAUAAAACCAUUGCUCCAAAACCGAUGAGACAGAACUUCGAGUUCCUAAGCCUUUGACCGGUAGAGGCGACGUCGGAGAGGUAACGACUUGAAACGCCAAGUUGGAGCAUGACGAAUGAUUAGAUCUCGAUCAGAUCUGAGAGGUAAUGACAAGGAGCGGUUCGAAAACGACCCUGGAUUCAACCACUCCCGAGAACCGAGAAAGGCUGAAGAUCGAACCAGGAACGAGGCAAAGAGAUAUCUCAACAUCGACAUGCAAGAUCAAACAUCAAAUUAGGAUUUUGACAAAAACAUAACUCAAUCAAAUCGGACUAGUUUAUGCAUGCACCGAAAAGCGAUUUAAACCCGACUCCGGCUCUAUGGAAGCAGCCGGAGUCGGAGAACAGAAACUCAAAUUUGAAAGAUCCAGUGAGAAGGCAGAGGUUUCUAGAGAGAGGAACACUGGAUUUGUAAUUCUAAAUAAAAAUAUAUAAAUUAUGCUAGAGAACAAAAUCUUUUACUAUAGCUUUUUUAAAAGGUGUCGUAGACUCGUACAGAUGUUUUAACAAAAUACUUAGAAACUGAAAUCUAUAGUGUGCAAAAAAAAAGAAAAAAAAAAGAAAUCUAUAGUGUGCAGUGUUUUUUGCAUAUAUUUUAGUCGUAGACUUCGAUAUAAACACUUUAACAAACACCAUGAGCAUCUUUUAUCCGC